RNAcentral lists this ribosomal RNA (691 nucleotides) under uncultured euryarchaeote. RNAcentral's name for it is "bacterial SSU rRNA". It matches the Rfam family "Archaeal small subunit ribosomal RNA", at positions 140 to 817 of the family's 1478-position model. Lineage: Archaea; Methanobacteriati; Methanobacteriota. The record is from RNAcentral.
CUGAGGACAACACCCCAUAGGGGUCAAGCACUGGAAUGUCUGACCUCAAAACAAGAAGACCUGUAUUCGGUCAAUUGCCCUAGGAUGAGUCUGCGGCGGAUUAGUUUGGCGGUAGGGUAAUGGCCUACCGUGACUAUGAUCUGUACCGGCAUUGGGAGAUGGAGCCGGGAGAUGGACACUGAGACAAAGGUCCAGGCUCUACGGAGUGCAGCAGUCGCGAAACCUUCGCAAUGCGCGCAAGCGUGACGGGGGGACCCCAAGUGCACAUGUUUAACAUGUGCUUUUCUCAAGUCUAAAAAACUUGGGGAAUAAGGGCUGGGUAAGACUGGUGCCAGCCUCCGCGGUAACACCAGCAGCUCAAGUGGUGAUCGCGUUUACUGGGUUUAAAGCGUGCGUAGUCGGUUCGGCAAGUUUUCUGUGAAAUCCUGGCGCUUAACGUCAGGGAUUGCAGAAAAUACUACCGAGCUAGAGACCGGAGUAGGAGUGAGGUAUUCUAGGGGUAGCGGUGAAAUGCUAUAAUCCCUGGAGGACCACCCGUAGCGAAAGCGUCACUCUAGUACGGGUCUGACGAUGAGGCACGAGAGCUAGGGGAGCAAACAGGAUUAGAUACCCUGGUAGUCCUAGCCGUAAACGAUGCGGGUUUAGUGUUCCUCAAACCUCGCGUUCGAGGAGCGCUGAAGGGAAACCGUUA